RNAcentral lists this transfer RNA (76 nucleotides) under Ignavibacteria bacterium. Its description in RNAcentral is "tRNA-Asp". It matches the Rfam family "tRNA". Rfam says of the family: Transfer RNA (tRNA) molecules are approximately 80 nucleotides in length. Their secondary structure includes four short double-helical elements and three loops (D, anti-codon, and T loops). The record is from RNAcentral. Lineage: Bacteria; Pseudomonadati; Ignavibacteriota; Ignavibacteria.
GGUGGCAUCGUUCAGCGGCUAGGACACUGCCCUGUCAAGGCAGAGAUCGCGGGUUCGAAUCCCGUUGUCACCGCCA